Molecule: transfer RNA, 47 nt
Filed under: Muscicapa striata (spotted flycatcher)
Lineage: Eukaryota; Metazoa; Chordata; Aves; Passeriformes; Muscicapidae
Description: partial transfer RNA-Pro
Source: RNAcentral
CAGAAAGUAGUUUUAUGAAAAAUGCCAGCUUUGGGAGUUGGUGAGGA